Molecule: ribosomal RNA, 483 nt
Filed under: uncultured bacterium
Lineage: Bacteria
Description: partial 16S ribosomal RNA
Rfam family: Bacterial small subunit ribosomal RNA
Source: RNAcentral
GACGAACGCUGGCGGCGUGCUUAACACAUGCAAGUCGAGCGAGACCCCGCUUUCGGGUGGGUGUUCUAGCGGCGAACGGGUGAGUAACACGUGGGCAACCUGCCCUCAGCUCUGGGAUAACUCCAAGAAAUUGGGGCUAAUACCGGAUAUGACCGCUGACCGCAUGGUCUGGUGGUGGAAAGAUUUAUCGGCUGGGGAUGGGCCCGCGGCCUAUCAGCUUGUUGGUGGGGCAGUGGCCUACCAAGGCGACGAAGGGUAGCCGGCCUGAGAGGGUGACCGGGCACACUGGGACUGCGACACGGCCCAGACUCCUACGGGAGGCAGCAGUGGGGAAUAGUGCGCAAUGGGCGAAAGCCUGACGCAGCGACGCCGCGUGGGGGAUGACGGCCUUCGGGUUGUAAACCUCUUUCAGCAGGGACGAAGCGAAAGUGACGGUACCUGCAGAAGAAGCACCGGCCAACUACGUGCCAGCAGCCGCGGUAA